UGGGGAAUAUUGGGCAAUGGGCGCAAGCCUGACCCAGCAACGCCGCGUGAAGGAAGAAGGCCCUCGGGUUGUAAACUUCUUUUAUCAGGGACGAAGAAAGUGACGGUACCUGAUGAAUAAGCCACGGCUAACUACGUGCCAGCAGCCGCGGUAAUACGUAGGUGGCAAGCGUUAUCCGGAUUUACUGGGUGUAAAGGGCGUGUAGGCGGGAGAGCAAGUCAGACGUGAAAUUCCAGGGCUCAACCCUGGAACUGCGUUUGAAACUGUUCUUCUUGAGUGAUGGAGAGGCAGGCGGAAUUCCGUGUGUAGCGGUGAAAUGCGUAGAUAUACGGAGGAACACCAGUGGCGAAGGCGGCCUGCUGGACAUUAACUGACGCUGAGGCGCGAAAGCGUGGGGAGCAAACAGGAUUAGAUACC
RNAcentral lists this ribosomal RNA (417 nucleotides) under uncultured bacterium. RNAcentral describes it as "bacterial SSU rRNA". It matches the Rfam family "Bacterial small subunit ribosomal RNA", at positions 355 to 786 of the family's 1533-position model. The record is from RNAcentral.